AAAUUGAAGAGUUUGAUCAUGGCUCAGAUUGAACGCUGGCGGCAGGCCUAACACAUGCAAGUCGAACGGUAACAGGAAGAAGCUUGCUUCUUUGCUGACGAGUGGCGGACGGGUGAGUAAUGUCUGGGAAACUGCCUGAUGGAGGGGGAUAACUACUGGAAACGGUAGCUAAUACCGCAUAACGUCGCAAGACCAAAGAGGGGGACCUUCGGGCCUCUUGCCAUCGGAUGUGCCCAGAUGGGAUUAGCUUGUUGGUGGGGUAACGGCUCACCAAGGCGACGAUCCCUAGCUGGUCUGAGAGGAUGACCAGCCACACUGGAACUGAGACACGGUCCAGACUCCUACGGGAGGCAGCAGUGGGGAAUAUUGCACAAUGGGCGCAAGCCUGAUGCAGCCAUGCCGCGUGUAUGAAGAAGGCCUUCGGGUUGUAAAGUACUUUCAGCGGGGAGGAAGGGAGUAAAGUUAAUACCUUUGCUCAUUGACGUUACCCGCAGAAGAAGCACCGGCUAACUCCGUGCCAGCAGCCGCGGUAAUACGGAGGGUGCAAGCGUUAAUCGGAAUUACUGGGCGUAAAGCGCACGCAGGCGGUUUGUUAAGUCAGAUGUGAAAUCCCCGGGCUCAACCUGGGAACUGCAUCUGAUACUGGCAAGCUUGAGUCUCGUAGAGGGGGGUAGAAUUCCAGGUGUAGCGGUGAAAUGCGUAGAGAUCUGGAGGAAUACCGGUGGCGAAGGCGGCCCCCUGGACGAAGACUGACGCUCAGGUGCGAAAGCGUGGGGAGCAAACAGGAUUAGAUACCCUGGUAGUCCACGCCGUAAACGAUGUCGACUUGGAGGUUGUGCCCUUGAGGCGUGGCUUCCGGAGCUAACGCGUUAAGUCGACCGCCUGGGGAGUACGGCCGCAAGGUUAAAACUCAAAUGAAUUGACGGGGGCCCGCACAAGCGGUGGAGCAUGUGGUUUAAUUCGAUGCAACGCGAAGAACCUUACCUGGUCUUGACAUCCACAGAACCUUGUAGAGAUACGGGGGUGCCUUCGGGAACUGUGAGACAGGUGCUGCAUGGCUGUCGUCAGCUCGUGUUGUGAAAUGUUGGGUUAAGUCCCGCAACGAGCGCAACCCUUAUCCUUUGUUGCCAGCGGUCCGGCCGGGAACUCAAAGGAGACUGCCAGUGAUAAACUGGAGGAAGGUGGGGAUGACGUCAAGUCAUCAUGGCCCUUACGACCAGGGCUACACACGUGCUACAAUGGCGCAUACAAAGAGAAGCGACCUCGCGAGAGCAAGCGGACCUCAUAAAGUGCGUCGUAGUCCGGAUUGGAGUCUGCAACUCGACUCCAUGAAGUCGGAAUCGCUAGUAAUCGUGGAUCAGAAUGCCACGGUGAAUACGUUCCCGGGCCUUGUACACACCGCCCGUCACACCAUGGGAGUGGGUUGCAAAAGAAGUAGGUAGCUUAACCUUCGGGAGGGCGCUUACCACUUUGUGAUUCAUGACUGGGGUGAAGUCGUAACAAGGUAACCGUAGGGGAACCUGCGGUUGGAUCACCUCCUUA
RNAcentral lists this ribosomal RNA (1542 nucleotides) under Escherichia coli. RNAcentral's name for it is "bacterial SSU rRNA". It matches the Rfam family "Bacterial small subunit ribosomal RNA". Lineage: Bacteria; Pseudomonadati; Pseudomonadota; Gammaproteobacteria; Enterobacterales; Enterobacteriaceae. The record is from RNAcentral.